UUGAGGUACGUUAAUUGAUCACAAGAUGUGGAGGAAAAGCGUUGGAUUAAUCCCAAAGUGAUGCUGAUGCAUAAACCAGAGGAGUGGAUGAUUUGAUCAAGUACCAGUAUUGGAGAUGCUCAACAAGUGGUCUUCAUCUAACAAACACUAACCUAGUGUUAUUCCAGGCAAGUCCCGGUGCAUUUACCCCUUGUAUUUUUAAAAGACUUUUAUACACUUAAGUCUAGUGAAAUGUGCAUUAAGUUUAUAGGAAUUGCUUGAAAACUAUUUGAUGCAUCGAGUACCUUGAUAUCCAUUCCUAUUAUAGAUACUUCUUUGGAAGUAUCAAAUAUUGUUUACAAAAAUGCUUAGCAUUGCUUAGAUCUUGUGGAUAGAGGUUGUCUUUUGCAAUAAUGCCUAGCUCAGGGGUUAUCCUGAGGAACGAUGGCUUCUACCUGCAAGAAUAUUUUCAUUGGGAGCAUGUGGGAUCUUACUGCAAGGUUCCCUAUAAUGCUCUUUUCAUCCUUAGGAACACAAAACAAUCCUAAUGAUGGAAGUAUUUAAAUCGAGACUUGGGCUAGGAACAGGUGAUGCUCCACCCAAGUUAAUUAAGGAUUGGAUGCGUAUAUAGGCCUGUAUGAUAAAGGACUAUCUUAGCUGGCCACAUGCCCUAGAUAUGGGAUAGGGUAAGCUUGAACCCGGCUAUUCCAUACAUGAAAAGACAAUCACGCACUGGGAGUGGAGAGAUGGCGAGAGUGGCACGUACCAUCCUAGCAAAGGACCUCCUAAAAGGGGUGGUGUGCUCUCGGGUGGCGCGGACCUAUUCAUGCAGUGGAGGAUCCGUGGGAAUGGUAGACAUAUGCAAGAGUUAUGAGAAACAUAUGUCAUGUGGUUAGAGAUCCUCAGCUGAGUAAAUUGAUUCGGAUCGCUGUUAUAUCCCCGGACAGUGGAGACUUGAUCUCUGACCUGCAACCUAGGUCAGUUUGUAAACAUUAUGAAUAAAAAUGAUGUUGUAUUGAUGAUAUGGUGAAAUUAGACUAGAUGCAACCAGAGUCUAUUAAUAUUUAUUCUGGCGUUAAAAUAUUGAAAGUAAGGACUCACUUUAGUAUACUAUUUCUGCAAAAGUAUCUAAGUUGAUUCUUGUUAAAGCCUUUUCCUUGAUUCCUAUUUAACCAGCAUAUCCUUGAGAUUCUUUUUCCUUAGUCCGGUAAGACUUGCGAAAGUACACUUUGUACUUAGAGUUUUCGAACCCAUGUUGUUGCAGGUACUAGAUUUGUGCUGCUAUUGAUGGUGCUAAAUGCCAGUGGGCUCGGCCUUCUUAUAGGUUAAAGUAGCUCUUCUAUACUUCUUAUUGAGAAUUGUCAUUGAGCUAGCAUAUAUUCAAACUUACAAAUAAUUUACAACAUUUCAAAGUAUAUUUCUUUGAAUCACUUUUGUAAU
This 1419-nucleotide long non-coding RNA is filed under the name Zea mays. RNAcentral describes it as "long non-coding RNA (ZMAY_LNC001536)". Lineage: Eukaryota; Viridiplantae; Streptophyta; Magnoliopsida; Poales; Poaceae. The record is from RNAcentral.